RNAcentral lists this ribosomal RNA (338 nucleotides) under uncultured soil bacterium. RNAcentral's name for it is "bacterial SSU rRNA". It matches the Rfam family "Bacterial small subunit ribosomal RNA", at positions 27 to 368 of the family's 1533-position model. The record is from RNAcentral.
CGAAUGAAGGCUGGCGGCGUGCUUUACACAUGCAAGUCGAGCGAGGCGGGUAGCAAUACCCAGUCGAGCGGCGAACGGGUGAGUAACGCGUGGAUAACCUGCCCAGAGGUGGGGAAUAACCCGGGGAAACUCGGGCUAAUACCGCAUGAUACCUAGCGGUCAAAGAGGGGUCGCAAGAUCUCUUGCCACGUGGAGGGUCCGCGUUCGAUUAGCUAGUUGGUAGGGUAAUGGCCUACCAAGGCGACGAUCGAUAGCCGGCCUGAGAGGGUGAUCGGCCACGACUGGAACUGAGACACGGUCCAGACUCCGUACGGGAGCUAGCGAGGUGGGAAUUUGCG